CACGUUCGGAUUGCAGUCUGCAACUCGAGUGCAUGAAGCUGGAAUCGCUAGUAAUCGCGAAUCAGAAUGUCGCGGUGAAUACGUUCCCGGGUCUUGUACACACCGCCCGUCACACCAUGGGAGUCGGAAAUGCCCGAAGUCUGUGACCCAACCUUAGGGAGGGAGCAGCCGAAGGCAGGUCGGAUGACUGGGGUGAAGUCGUAACAAGGUACC
This 213-nucleotide ribosomal RNA is filed under the name uncultured bacterium. RNAcentral's name for it is "partial 16S ribosomal RNA". It matches the Rfam family "Bacterial small subunit ribosomal RNA", at positions 1288 to 1500 of the family's 1533-position model. The record is from RNAcentral.